GCCGGGGUGGCUCANCUGGAGGAGCGCCGGACUCAUAAUCCGGAGGUCUCGGGUUCGAUCCCCGAUCCCGGCACCA
This 76-nucleotide transfer RNA is filed under the name Thermoplasma acidophilum. Its description in RNAcentral is "tRNA-Met". It matches the Rfam family "tRNA". From Rfam's summary of the family: Transfer RNA (tRNA) molecules are approximately 80 nucleotides in length. Their secondary structure includes four short double-helical elements and three loops (D, anti-codon, and T loops). Further hydrogen bonds mediate the characteristic L-shaped molecular structure. tRNAs have two regions of fundamental functional importance: the anti-codon, which is responsible for specific mRNA codon recognition, and the 3' end, to which the tRNAs corresponding amino acid is attached (by aminoacyl-tRNA synthetases). tRNAs cope with the degeneracy of the genetic code in two manners: having more than one tRNA (with a specific anti-codon) for a particular amino acid; and 'wobble' base-pairing, i.e. permitting non-standard base-pairing at the 3rd anti-codon position. The record is from RNAcentral. Lineage: Archaea; Methanobacteriati; Thermoplasmatota; Thermoplasmata; Thermoplasmatales; Thermoplasmataceae.